UGAGGAAUAUUGGUCAAUGGGCGGGAGCCUGAACCAGCCAAGCCGCGUGAGGGAAGAAGGCCCUAUGGGUCGUAAACCUCUUUUGUCAGGGAACAAAAGCGAGUAUGUAUACUGGUCUGAGUGUACCUGAAGAAAAACGCAUCGGCUAACUCCGUGCCAGCAGCCGCGGUAAUACGGAGGAUGCGAGCGUUAUCCGGAUUUAUUGGGUUUAAAGGGUGCGUAGGCGGCGGUGCAAGUCAGCGGUAAAAGCCCGGGGCUCAACCCCGGCGAGCCGUUGAAACUGCAGUGCUAGAGAAGGCGAGAGGUACGCGGAAUGCGCAGUGUAGCGGUGAAAUGCUUAGAUAUUGCGCAGAACUCCGAUUGCGAAGGCAGCGUACUGGCGCCUGACUGACACUGAGGCACGAAAGCGUGGGGAUCGAACAGGAUUAAUACC
This 433-nucleotide ribosomal RNA is filed under the name uncultured bacterium. RNAcentral describes it as "bacterial SSU rRNA". It matches the Rfam family "Bacterial small subunit ribosomal RNA", at positions 355 to 786 of the family's 1533-position model. The record is from RNAcentral.